CGCGUGGCAACCUACCUUUCAGUACGGAACAACAGUUAGAAAUGACUGCUAAUACCGUAUACGUCCUCCGGGAGAAAGAUUUAUCGCUGAUAGAUGGGGCCGCGUUAGAUUAGCUAGUUGGUGAGGUAAAAGCUCACCAAGGCGACGAUCUAUAGCUGGUCUGAGAGGAUGAUCAGCCACACUGGGACUGAGACACGGCCCAGACUCCUACGGGAGGCAGCAGUGGGGAAUAUUGGACAAUGGGCGCAAGCCUGAUCCAGCCAUGCCGCGUGAAUGAUGAAGGCCUUAGGGUUGUAAAAU
This 300-nucleotide ribosomal RNA is filed under the name uncultured Hyphomonadaceae bacterium. RNAcentral describes it as "bacterial SSU rRNA". It matches the Rfam family "Bacterial small subunit ribosomal RNA", at positions 114 to 431 of the family's 1533-position model. The record is from RNAcentral. Lineage: Bacteria; Pseudomonadati; Pseudomonadota; Alphaproteobacteria; Hyphomonadales; Hyphomonadaceae.